RNAcentral lists this ribosomal RNA (506 nucleotides) under uncultured bacterium. RNAcentral's name for it is "partial 16S ribosomal RNA". It matches the Rfam family "Bacterial small subunit ribosomal RNA", at positions 28 to 523 of the family's 1533-position model. The record is from RNAcentral.
GACGAACGCUGGCGGCGUGCUUAACACAUGCAAGUCGAGGGGUAACAAGAGAAAAGCUUGCUUUUCUUGUUGACGACCGGCGCACGGGUGAGUAACGCGUAUCCAACCUGCCUAUAACUAGGGAAUAACCUUGCGAAAGUAAGACUAAUGCCCUAUGACUUCCUUUGGCGGCAUCAAAAAAGGAAUAAAGAUUUAUCGGUUAUAGAUGGGGAUGCGUCUGAUUAGCUUGUUGGCGGGGUAACGGCCCACCAAGGCAACGAUCAGUAGGGGUUCUGAGAGGAAGGUCCCCCACAUUGGAACUGAGACACGGUCCAAACUCCUACGGGAGGCAGCAGUGAGGAAUAUUGGUCAAUGGGCGGAAGCCUGAACCAGCCAAGUAGCGUGCAGGAUGACGGCCCUAUGGGUUGUAAACUGCUUUUAUACAGGGAUAAAGUUAGCCACGUGUGGUUAUUUGCAGGUACUGUAUGAAUAAGGACCGGCUAAUUCCGUGCCAGCAGCCGCGGUAA